CCCUUAGAUGUUCUGGGCCGCACGCGUGCUACACUGAGUGGAUCAGCGGGUCAGGUUGCGCGAAAGCGUUUCCUAAUCUUGAAAUCCGCUCGUGAUGGGGAUUGACGGUUGCAAUUUUCUGUCAUGAACGAGGAAUACCUUGUAAGCGCGGGUCAUCAUCCCGCGCUGAAUACGUCCCUGCCCUUUGUACACACCGCCCGUCGCUCCUACCGAUUGAGUGGUCCGGUGAGGCUUUGGGAUCUGAGCGGAAAGAGCGUUUCGCUCGUUCUGCCCGGAAAACUCAGUCGAACCUUAUCAUUUAGAGGAAGUAAAAGUCGUAACA
Molecule: ribosomal RNA, 322 nt
Filed under: uncultured eukaryote
Lineage: Eukaryota
Description: partial 18S ribosomal RNA
Rfam family: Eukaryotic small subunit ribosomal RNA
Source: RNAcentral